GUCUACCACCAUGCCACCCUGAACAAGCCCGAUCCUGUCUGAUCUCGGAAGCAAAGCAGGGUUGGGCCUGGUUAGUAAUUGGGUAGGAGACCACCUAGGAAGACCAGAUGUUGUAGGUA
This 119-nucleotide ribosomal RNA is filed under the name Pteropus alecto (black flying fox). The record is from RNAcentral. Lineage: Eukaryota; Metazoa; Chordata; Mammalia; Chiroptera; Pteropodidae.